This 305-nucleotide long non-coding RNA is filed under the name Solanum tuberosum (potato). Its description in RNAcentral is "long non-coding RNA (STUB_LNC004702)". Lineage: Eukaryota; Viridiplantae; Streptophyta; Magnoliopsida; Solanales; Solanaceae. The record is from RNAcentral.
CCAGCCAGCAUUUUUAUUCAACCUCGAGUGUAUAUAAUAUUGAAGAGCUACUGAUAGUACUGCCAUAAAUGGAGUACCAGGAGUAAUAACAUUUGAAUCAGAUGUCUCGGGCUUUUCUGUAGGCACUAAACUAGCAGCUUCCAUCUCAAACUCUUCUCUUAACCUUGUUUCUUCAGCUUCCUGUCAUAAAAGUUUGAAUGAGAUGCAUACAUUUACAAUGUUAAACCACAUAGGUAAAGGAAAAUUAUACAGAUUCAGCAGCAUCUUUAGCAGCUCUGAAACGCCUGGUUCUCUGCUGAUUCAUC